CCCUUAGAUGUUCUGGGCCGCACGCGCGCUACACUGAUCAGUGCAACAAGCAUCCGUCCUUGGCCGACAGGCCCGGGCAAUCUUUGAACGCUGAUCGUGAUGGGGAUAGACUUUUGCAAUUUUUGGUCUUCAACGAGGAAUUCCUAGUAAACGCAAGUCAUCAACUUGCAUUGAUUACGUCCCUGCCCUUUGUACACACCGCCCGUCGCACCUACCGAUUGAAUGGUCCGGUGAAGCCUCCGGAUUGGCGUGCACCCUCGGGUGCUGCCGAGAAGUUGGCUAAACCCUACCAUUUAGAGGAAGGUGAAGUCGUAACA
Molecule: ribosomal RNA, 317 nt
Filed under: uncultured eukaryote
Lineage: Eukaryota
Description: partial 18S ribosomal RNA
Rfam family: Eukaryotic small subunit ribosomal RNA
Source: RNAcentral